UACGGAGGGGGCAAGCGUUAUUCGGAAUUAUUGGGCGUAAAGGGCGCGUAGGCGGCUAGAUGUGUCAAAGGUGAAAUCCCUCGGCUCAACUGAGGAACUGCCUUUGAAACUGUCUGGCUUGAGGCCGGGAGAGGGUAGCGGAAUUCCCAGUGUAGCGGUGAAAUGCGUAGAUAUUGGGAGGAACACCAGUGGCGAAGGCGGCUACCUGGACCGGUGCUGACGCUGAGGCGCGAAAGCGUGGGUAGCAAACAGG
Molecule: ribosomal RNA, 253 nt
Filed under: uncultured bacterium
Lineage: Bacteria
Description: partial 16S ribosomal RNA
Rfam family: Bacterial small subunit ribosomal RNA
Source: RNAcentral